RNAcentral lists this ribosomal RNA (429 nucleotides) under Actinomycetes bacterium. RNAcentral describes it as "Actinobacteria bacterium partial 16S ribosomal RNA". It matches the Rfam family "Bacterial small subunit ribosomal RNA", at positions 355 to 776 of the family's 1533-position model. The record is from RNAcentral. Lineage: Bacteria; Bacillati; Actinomycetota; Actinomycetes.
UAGGGAAUCUUCCGCAAUGGGUGAAAGCCUGACGGAGCAACGCCGCGUGAGUGAUGAAGGUCUUCGGAUCGUAAAACUCUGUUAUUAGGGAAGAACAAAUGUGUAAGUAACUAUGCACGUCUUGACGGUACCUAAUCAGAAAGCCACGGCUAACUACGUGCCAGCAGCCGCGGUAAUACGUAGGUGGCAAGCGUUAUCCGGAAUUAUUGGGCGUAAAGCGCGCGUAGGCGGUUUUUUAAGUCUGAUGUGAAAGCCCACGGCUCAACCGUGGAGGGUCAUUGGAAACUGGAAAACUUGAGUGCAGAAGAGGAAAGUGGAAUUCCAUGUGUAGCGGUGAAAUGCGCAGAGAUAUGGAGGAACACCAGUGGCGACGGCGACUUUCUGGUCUGUAACUGACGCUGAUGUGCGAAAGCGUGGGGAUCAAACAGG